ACAGUAAGUAAGCUGUGCCGAUUUUUGCUUUGUGCUUUUCCUUGAACUUUCGUAAUCUGCUGAGUUCCUUUCGUUUCUUUGUGAUUACUCUCGUUCGUGGUGCCAUUCUUAGUACACGUGGUGGUUCGGAGGAGUUUCUGAGGUGAACGACGAGUUACCAGCGACUUAGUGAUUUUGGAGAUAACCCCCAGACUUAGGACGAGUCGGUGUGACGGGAGCUC
This is a long non-coding RNA of Gossypium arboreum, 221 nucleotides long. RefSeq lists it as uncharacterized. The transcript has 3 exons. The record is from RefSeq and is a predicted model, not a curated record. Lineage: Eukaryota; Viridiplantae; Streptophyta; Magnoliopsida; Malvales; Malvaceae.